UUAUACCGCGAAACUGCGAAUGGCUCAUUAUAUAAGUUAUCGUUUAUUUGAUAGUACCUUACUACUUGGAUAACCGUGGUAAUUCUAGAGCUAAUACAUGCUAAAAAUCCCGACUUCGGAAGGGAUGUAUUUAUUAGAUUAAAAGCCAAUGCCCUUCGGGGCUCUCUGGUGAUUCAUGAUAACUUCUCGAAUCGCAUGGCCUUGCGCCGGCGAUGGUUCAUUCAAAUUUCUUCCCUAUCAACUUUCGAUGUUUGGGUAUUGGCCAAACAUGGUUGCAACGGGUAACGGAGGGUUAGGGCUCGACCCCGGAGAAGGAGCCUGAGAAACGGCUACUACAUCCAAGGAAGGCAGCAGGCGCGCAAAUUACCCAAUCCCAACUCGGGGAGGUAGUGACAAUAAAUACUGAUACAGGGCUCUUUAGGGUCUUGUAAUUGGAAUGAGUACAAUUUAAAUCCCUUAACGAGGAACAAUUGGAGGGCAAGUCUGGUGCCAGCAGCCGCGGUAAUUCCAGCUCCAAUAGCGUAUAUUAAAGUUGUUGUGGUUAAAAAGCUCGUAGUUGAACCUUGGGCCUGGCUGGCCGGUCCGCCUCACCGCGUGUACUGGUCCGGCCGGGCCUUUCCCUCUGUGGAACCCCAUGCCCUUCACUGGGUGUGGCGGGGAAACAGGACUUUUACUUUGAAAAAAUUAGAGUGCUCAAGGCAGGCCUAUGCUCGAAUACAUUAGCAUGGAAUAAUAAAAUAGGACGUGCGGUUCUAUUUUGUUGGUUUCUAGGACCGCCGUAAUGAUUAAUAGGGACAGUCGGGGGCAUCAGUAUUCAAUUGUCAGAGGUGAAAUUCUUGGAUUUAUUGAAGACUAACUACUGCGAAAGCAUUUGCCAAGGAUGUUUUCAUUAAUCAGGAACGAAAGUUAGGGGAUCGAAGACGAUCAGAUACCGUCGUAGUCUUAACCAUAAACUAUGCCGACUAGGGAUCGGACGAUGUUAUUUUUUGACUCGUUCGGCACCUUACGAGAAAUCAAAGU
Molecule: ribosomal RNA, 1020 nt
Filed under: Nectria sp. MJH 2018c
Lineage: Eukaryota; Fungi; Ascomycota; Sordariomycetes; Hypocreales; Nectriaceae
Description: SSU rRNA
Rfam family: Eukaryotic small subunit ribosomal RNA
Source: RNAcentral